Molecule: unclassified non-coding RNA, 212 nt
Filed under: Hevea brasiliensis (rubber tree)
Lineage: Eukaryota; Viridiplantae; Streptophyta; Magnoliopsida; Malpighiales; Euphorbiaceae
Source: RNAcentral
ACAGGGGACUGACCGGCGCUUCGGGAUAGGGUCUAUCCAGCAGCACGCUGCCCGAUAUUUCCAGCGAUGAGCGCAAGGUGAUCGGAUCGGCCGGAAACCAUNNGCAUGGCGCAGAGAAUGUCGCUCGACGAUCCGACCUGCCCGACAUUGAUCGGAUCGGCGGGGAUGCCCUGCGCGGUGACCGUCACCAUCGGCAUGCCGUCGAGUUUUUU